UGGGGAAUAUUGCACAAUGGGCGCAAGCCUGAUGCAGCCAUGCCGCGUGUAUGAAGAAGGCCUUCGGGUUGUAAAGUACUUUCAGUCGGGAGGAAGGUGUCAAGGUUAAUAACCUUGGCAAUUGACGUUACCGACAGAAGAAGCACCGGCUAACUCCGUGCCAGCAGCAGCGGUAAUACGGAGGGUGCAAGCGUUAAUCGGAAUUACUGGGCGUAAAGCGCACGCAGGCGGUUGAUUGAGUCAGAUGUGAAAUCCCCGGGCUUAACCCGGGAAUUGCAUCUGAUACUGGUCAGCUAGAGUCUUGUAGAGGGGGGUAGAAUUCCAUGUGUAGCGGUGAAAUGCGUAGAGAUGUGGAGGAAUACCGGUGGCGAAGGCGGCCCCCUGGACAAAGACUGACGCUCAGGUGCGAAAGCGUGGGGAGCAAACAGG
Molecule: ribosomal RNA, 429 nt
Filed under: Chloroflexota bacterium
Lineage: Bacteria; Bacillati; Chloroflexota
Description: Chloroflexi bacterium partial 16S ribosomal RNA
Rfam family: Bacterial small subunit ribosomal RNA
Source: RNAcentral